CCUACGGGAGGCAGCAGUAGGGAAUAUUGCUCAAUGGGGGAAACCCUGAAGCAGCAACGCCGCGUGGGUGAUGAAGGUUUUCGGAUUGUAAACCCCUUUUGUUAGAGAAGAAAAUGACGGUAUCUAACGAAUAAGCACCGGCUAACUACGUGCCAGCAGCCGCGGUAAUACGGAGGGGGCAAGCGUUACUCGGAUUAACUGGGCGUAAAGAGAGCGUAGGCGGGAUAGCAAGUCAGAUGUGAAAUCCUAUGGCUUAACCAUAGAACUGCAUUUGAAACUGUUAUUCUGGAGUAUAGGAGAGGUAGGUGGAAUUCUUGGUGUAGGGGUAAAAUCCGUAGAGAUCAAGAGGAAUACUCAUGGCGAAGGCGACCUGCUGGAACGUAACUGACGCUGAGGCGCGAAAGCGUGGGGAGCAAACAGGAUUAGAUACCCGUGUAGUC
Molecule: ribosomal RNA, 440 nt
Filed under: uncultured bacterium
Lineage: Bacteria
Description: partial 16S ribosomal RNA
Rfam family: Bacterial small subunit ribosomal RNA
Source: RNAcentral